GCCCAGGUGGUGGAAUGGUAGACACGUACGUUUCAGGUGCGUAUGUCUUUGCGGACAUGCAGGUUCGAGUCCUGUUCUGGGCA
RNAcentral lists this transfer RNA (83 nucleotides) under Bacteroidales bacterium KHT7. It matches the Rfam family "tRNA". From Rfam's summary of the family: Transfer RNA (tRNA) molecules are approximately 80 nucleotides in length. Their secondary structure includes four short double-helical elements and three loops (D, anti-codon, and T loops). The record is from Rfam by way of RNAcentral. Lineage: Bacteria; Pseudomonadati; Bacteroidota; Bacteroidia; Bacteroidales. RNAcentral also lists the same sequence under 1 other name.